This 301-nucleotide ribosomal RNA is filed under the name uncultured bacterium. RNAcentral describes it as "partial 16S ribosomal RNA". It matches the Rfam family "Bacterial small subunit ribosomal RNA", at positions 509 to 807 of the family's 1533-position model. The record is from RNAcentral.
CAGCAGCCGCGGUAAUACGAAGGGUGCAAGCGUUACUCGGAAUUACUGGGCGUAAAGCGUGCGUAGGUGGUGGUUUAAGUCCGUUGUGAAAGCCCUGGGCUCAACCUGGGAAUGGCAGUGGAUACUGGCAAGCUAGAGUGUGUCAGAGGAUGGUGGAAUUCCCGGUGUAGCAGUGAAAUGCGUAGAGAUCGAGAGGAACAUCAGUGGCGAAGGCGGCCAUCUGGGACAACACUGACGCUGAAGCACGAAAGCGUGGGGAGCAAACAGGAUUAGAUACCCCUGUAGUCCCUGUCUCUUAUAC